Molecule: long non-coding RNA, 505 nt
Filed under: Chrysolophus pictus (golden pheasant)
Lineage: Eukaryota; Metazoa; Chordata; Aves; Galliformes; Phasianidae
Description: lncRNA (ENSCPIG00010001155.1)
Source: RNAcentral
GUCCAUUUAUUGAAAAAUUAUUGAAAUAUUUGGUUUCAUACGUGGAUUAAAAUCGAAUUUCAAAAUGUCUCUCUUCAAUGUGAAAAGAAGUGGUGAAUUUCCAUCAGCUCUGAAAUGAAUGUAUUGUUGGAACUACAGUCAUAAUACAAUGUCAAUUUGGCAGAUGGAAGAAGACAACAGGAGGGCAGUGACCACAGUGGCUUCUAUGAUGCUGACUUUGAAAUGAGAUAAUUUUUGCUGCAUGGGAGUACCUGGUCUUACAGCCUAGGAUAUUUUCUGACUGCCGACCACGGACACCUGAAUGAAAGUCAUUGUUUUACAAUGGAGUGGAGACCUUUGGCAGGUCAGCGAAAGUACUACCUCAUAGACUCAACCACAUCUGCCUCACACUGGUGGUGACUUCAGCAGGACCUCUGUUGGCAGUCUUCUGAGUAUCAGAAAGCCUUGUCAGGGAGUUCUUCAGUGUCUCUGCCUGGAAAGAGACAACAAAUGAUUUUUGUGGGAC